Aegilops tauschii subsp. strangulata is the source of this 7481-nucleotide non-coding RNA. The record is from RefSeq and is a predicted model, not a curated record. Lineage: Eukaryota; Viridiplantae; Streptophyta; Magnoliopsida; Poales; Poaceae.
AGGGGAUAAAACCACCGUACCGCGCUGCGCUUGGGAAAGAAAAACAGCGAGGGCGCACCGCACCACGCGAGGGCUUUCUCCUCCAUCCCCGUUCCCUCGUCUCAACCGGCCGCCACUCCAUCUCCAUCCCCUCCCCUCUCUCGCCGCCGCCCCGCUCCCGCUCCCGCUCUCCCUCCCCGCCGCCCGCUUCGCCUACUCCGGAGCCCUGCUGUCGUAAUCCCACCAUCCGGCUUGUGGCGAAGAGGACAGCCGCCGCCUCUUCCCUGCCUCCCCAUCUCGCCCGAAACAUCGCUCCUGGAGCCCUUCCCAGUCCACGGUGGAGCCCCCAUCCCAGCUCCGCAUCCGAGAUCCGCGACAAGGGAGGGGUGGAUCGAUGAUGUUGCAGCAAAGAGGAACGAGGUUGGGCAGUGGUGACGGAGCGGGAUAGGUGACGAGGAUGACCUGUGACUCCUCAUGGCAAAGAGGGAGGCAUGGCGCCUCAGCUCCGCCACCGACGACAGCCUCGACGGCUGCAGCAUGCGCAGUGCCGACAGGGUCAAGGUGCGGCAGUAUGGGAAGACGUGCAAGAAGCUCACUGGCAUGUUCAUGACACAGGAGUUGGCCACGCACUCUGGCUCUGUAUGGUGCAUUAACUUCAGCUUGGCUGGACGGUACCUUGCGAGCGCCGGCGAGGACCGUGUGAUCCAUGUCUGGGAGGUCUCCGAGGGUGAGAGAAAGGGGGAGCUGCUCGGGGAAGGUGCGGUUUCAAAGGAGAGUGGUGGCGGAGGCAGCCCGUUUGUGGCAGUUGCUGGAAAUGGAUCGUGGUGGUGGCAAUGUCGCUGCUCAGCAGUGCAGACAAGGGAUAUGUGGAGAAGAAGAGGAGGCCACGGGUGCAGAGCAGCAGCAAGUCUGUCGGUUCUGAUCAUCUGGUUGUGCCCGAGACCCCGAGUGCGUGUUUGGGUUCAGAGAUAAGCCAUUUUGCUCGCCCCUGGGGCACGCCGCUGAUGUUCUUGAUUUAUCAUGGUCCAAAUCUCAGGCAGGCAUUUCAAUUUUCUGUCAUGCUUCUAGAUAUCAAACGUGGUUGAGAAAGUUCCAUUUUUAAAAGGGGCUGGAGCUCCAUGGCUUACAGAUCUAACGACCCCUGAUGCUCUUUGCAUAUUUCCCAUGAUAACAUCACUGUUCGUCAUGCUUCCCUUUGAGGUAUGUGUUCAAUUCUUUUUACCUAAAUGUAUGUUUGUUCGUGGGCUACAAAAUUUGAGAUGCCAUUUAUUGCAUCCUUCAACUAUUUUUCCUGCUGAACCUGCCGGCUCGACCCAGGAGCGGCAGGUGCAGAUGCGUGUGCGAGGAGCGCCGUCGGUCGACCGGCCGGCGUUCUUUCUUCGUCAGGAAGGGUGCAGCCUGCUACUCAAGCCCCUCUCCUUCGCUCCUUGAAGAGCAGGAGAGGCAUGGGCACCACCACACUGGAGAGAUGGACGAGGACAUGAAGCUUUCGUGGAGAGGACGAGGUGGCCGCCGCUGCACCCCCACGCCGCGGACGCCGAGAUUCCCAUCCUCUCUGCCCUUGAUAACCACUUCGGCGGCGCCAUGAACGACACCAAUCGCCUCUUCUCGGCAGGCGCAGACCGCAUGGUCGUCUUCCUCUCCGGCUUCUUCUACACCAUCAGACUCAGACCCUCUCCCGCUCCCUCUCCCUCUGCAUCUCUGUAAAAAUAUGCUUAGGUCAACUAGGAGAUGAUGCAAGCCAAGGCGCUCACACCGAUUUAAGAUGGUGUGGGUGAUCAAUAGAAGACAAAUGAAUACACUGAUGGAAGGCCAUGUCAAAAUGACAGCUGUUAAACAAGAGGUAGACACAACCAGUGAUACCAGCCCGAUUACCCAUGACGAACCACUGUGUCAGAAGCACAAUAAGCCAUACGAGUAUAUCCAUCGCCCACGCUAAGCAAACUCAAUCCAAAAGUUCAAAGGCAAGAAAAUUCAUGUAAAGCCUAGAAAGUACAUUCUCCGUGGUGAGCCUUGCAUCCACUACUUAGAUGAGUUUAGUCACCACAUUGUGUGGGGCAACACAGUUAAGCUCUACAACCAUAAUGUUCGUACACUGUGAAAGAUCAUCUGCAGCACCACCACGCCUGAUAACUACUAUGUGUGCCACAUGACAGAAACAUUUGCAACAGAAGGCAAAAGAAUGUACUUUAGCGUUCCCUUUUAUACGGGUUCCCUUUUCCCACACAUGGAUGCUGACCAUGGUAAACUGCCAAUCACUAUUGGAGACGGAACUACGCUGUCACGACCCGCUUUAUCAAGGGUGUUGACAAAAGGGCCACCAUCACUAAAGGUUGGAGCGACUUCUUCCGUUAGGCACACAUGAACGAAGGGCGAGUAUAUGCUUUCGCCUUCAAAUGCACUUCCAAGGGACUCUGCCUGAUCGUCUACUCAAUAUAAGCAAGUUGCAAGAGCCCCUUGUUAUAUAACUUAGUAUUAGUACAGAUGCGUAUCAAGACUUCCGUGUUUAUCAUCCUUUUGGAUCUUACGUAAUCCCCUAAGACCAUCCUGUGCAUUUAGCUAUCGGUUAGUUGCCGCUUAGACUGCUAUGUGGUAUGCUUUUGAAACAACCUUGAUGGAAGAAAUAUAUGCUUUCACCUUUAAGUGCACAUCCAAAGGCCUCUGCAUGAUUGUCUAUCCAAUCUAAACAGAUCAAAAGAGUCCUUUCCUACAUGACUUAUUGCAUCAUUUUCAAUCUUAUGUACUUACUGCGUAUAGAAUGAGCUAUUCUUUUCGAAUAACAAUAUGUUAAUGCAUGCUCUUACAAUAAUUAGCUUACACUCGGCCUUUGCGCCAUUAGCGCAACGGAUCAUCUAGUCUUAGUAAAGAUAGAACAAUUGGAGAAGCGAUCACCUUGGUGAACUCUUCGCUUAUAAGACUUACCCACCCAUAGAGUAGAAUCCCUACGCUAUGCAGCUAGAAAGAUUGGUCGACCCCAUUCUUCAUAUGCAGGCCUGGGAAGGAGCAAGGUAUCUCCUUUUCCAGAAAGAUGUGAACAAAUGGGUGCCAACUCAUCUGAUGUUUUACUUUCUAGUCCCAUUAUUUUAAAGGGAUAAGUAUAUUUUUCGUCCUCAAACUCUUCCAAGAGUUUAGAAAUUGUCCCUCAACUCCAAACCGGAUAGUCUUCGUCCCUCAACUAUCAAAACCGGAUAGUUUUCGUCCCUCGUGCCGCUUCGGCUGGUUUUAGUACGUGGUGAACAGUAACUCGGUGAACAGUAAAAUAUAAAAAAUAGCAAAAAAAAAAUCUGAAAUUUUACAGCAUCGAAGAUACUCUGGUGCGCAAGACCCGUGCAAAAUUUCGUGGUGUUCCAACAUUCGAGCAGCUCACGGCAAACAAAAACUGUAAAUAUGUACAUCGGUGAACAGUAAAUUCAAAAAAUAGAAAAAAAUAAAAAAUUUAUGAAACUUUUUGGCAUCAAAGAUGCUCAGGUACGUAAGAUGCGUGCAAAAUUUCGUGAUCAAAUGACAUAUGAGGAGCUCUAGCCAAAAAAAAAUAGCGCACUUUUUCAAAAAAUUAAAUUUGAGCCAAAUUUUGUUUUUUUCCCACGAGUUCGUACAAUGCCCAAACACCACGAAAAUUUGCACGCACGUUGCACACCCAAGCCUCUUUCAUGCCAAAAAAAUUCAUACUGUUUUGAUUUUGUUUGCUAUUUUUUUGAAUUUACUAUUCACCGACGUAUAUAUUUGUAGUUUUUUGUUUGCCGUGAGCUGCUCGAAUGUCGAAACACCAUGAAAUUUUGCACGGGUCUUGCGCACCAGAGUAUCUUCGAUGCUGUAAAAUUUGCAGAUUUUUUAUAAUUUUUUUGCUAUUUUUUCCGAUUUUACUGUUCACCGCGUACUAAAACCGCCCGAAGCGGCACGAGGGACGAAAACUAUUCGGUUUUGAUAGUUGAGGGACGAAAACUAUCCGGUUUGGAGUUGAGGGACGAUUUCUAAACUCUCGGAAGAGUUCGAGGACGAAAAAUAUACUUAUCCCUAUUUUCAAAGAAACUGACGUUGUAAAUGGAAACCCCUGAACCACUUCUUACUUUUGGAUUUGGUGGGAGCCUGCCAAGUGGGAGACCCAGAAAGAAGCCAUCCCGGUGUGUAUCAUCAGUGGGUGUUAAGCUUGUCUGUGUAGAUAUUUAUUGUAUAAAAGGUGUUGCAUGUUUGAAUCACUCCUGACUAUAGCAUUUAAGAACCCUGUCUCUCGAUCUCAUCCUUAUGCAAGGGAGACUAUCUCUAGGACUUUGUUUGUGGUCGACAAGCUAUGUGUCUAUCUUAGACCAGAGCUGUCAGGAUACUACACCGGCUUUCAUAUGUAAGACAAUGUUGUACCAAAGUCAAAAACUGAUGUUAUUUAUCAAGUCUUUCGAACAUAGUUAGUCCCAUCCUUUUCAUCCGGCCACUAGACUAGUUUGGUCUCUUCAAGGAGAGAAGUCCUUUCUCGAGGAGUCCAAGUAUUGGAUAUAUUGGUGGAGUAGAUAGUAGGUAAAAAGUAACCACUACAUGGUAGAUAGCGUCCCUUCCUUACUUUUCUUAAUAAGCCCUUGAUCGAGUAGUUCAUCCGAAAGCAUUUGAUCCAUCAGAUCAAUGCUUGAUCUGCUACGGUUCAAGACCUAGGAACGGAAACAACUGGAUGAUACGCUUCUUUCUCUUAGUCAGCUUUAUCUCAUAUUGCCUACGAAGCCGUGGAUCCAAGCACUGCUAUAUUAAUUCUACUUGGCUGCCGCCCAUAGGGCCUAAGGGAAGACGUACGGAGGAAUGGUCUUUGGGCAUUUGUGACCAACACCCCAUUUAUCACCACACUCUUUUUUGGGCGCUGCUUCUCUGUCUGUAUCUUCAAUACACUAAGAAAAUUGAAAAUAAUAUUGUAGAGAUAAAAAAUAAACUAAGAAAAUUCCUCCUGAUCGUUUUUUUAGUCUAGUAUAAUUAUUAUUUUCGCAAAAAUGUUUGUCCAGCCAAAAAUGCUGACUAAUUUAAGUAAUUUGCAAACUACUGACAAAUACACCCAUACACUUGCUGUCAUAGCCAUGUGGUUAAUGGCUUUUACUGGCCAAAUGGAAUUGUGAAGUGGUUCUUAGCAAGGGAAACUUGGUUUCCAUGAUGUUUUACUGAGUUAGGGAAACCAAUAGAUACACAAAAUCAAUAUGGGGGCCUCACACCUAUGCACCUGCCACUUCUUCUCCCCUGCCUCGUAUGAAUUUGCACAGCAUCAAUCAAUGCUGAAAAUGCAGCUUAUCAGAAUUUCAGGGCUUUCAGUCGUUAUAACAGUACAAGCAGUCGAUCAAUGGUGAUCUGCCUGCUUUAUACAUAUGUGAAAGUAAGCACCAAUAGUCAAGCAUGUUAACACCUAUCCUUUGUCAUAUGCCUGUAACUUAUCUUCAGUACGUCUUUUCUGAAGAAAAGGAAAAACAUUUUCCUGAAAUGGUAUGUACUUGUUUUGAUUUUCUCCGAAUCACAAUUUGGCUUUAAGAAAAGUGGGCCUUUGUUACUGUACCAUAAAGUUAAGAAAAAGGGAGGAAAGAACGCACAAAAUAUUGAAAUCCUGAUGACCUUCUAAAAACAGUAUAGUUCAUCAGUUAUCCGAGCUUGUCAUAUACAGACUUUUUUCUAGUGAGAAAUAUGUUUUCCCUUAGUUUCCCAGUAGCUUGUCUCAGUAGCAGUGUAGUUUUAUCUGCAAUUAUAUGCUUGUGAGCUGUAGUAACCAUCGUGCCCCGCAAAUUUUCACUAUGCAAUGCUAUUUAUCGUUCAUUUUUUGGAGUAACUAUAUUAUUUGUAUGACGCCCUGAAUGAAGUUGGUUACUCCGAUGUGAUCCCCGCAUGCUAGGCUUGUGUGAAGUACCACCUUUCAUCCAUUUUACAGAUAACUCCGUUCUUAUUUGUCUUUUGACUUCAAUCAUGACCACUGGUGGCACUGAUGGUGUCUCAACGCUCCUGAAAGUCAAUAAAGAGAUCAAAUUCAGAUCCACAUUCAGUCAGUCAUUCAUUGGCAGGUAGAAGUCCUGUGAAGCACGUACAUUGUUUUUCACCUUCUACGUACAAGAGCUUGAUGGAGCUAUCCAUGUGCCUAUUAGCUUCUCUAAAUGGUCUCGUGACUAAAAAGACUCUGCCGCGCCAACACCUGAUUAAUUGCAUCGGUUUCUGCUCAAGUGCCUAAUGCAAUCUUCUGUCUUUGAUAAAACACUGCCAGGUUCCACGCGCACUAAAUCUAAUGAACUUUUUAGUUCUAUUUCAGGAUAUGGAACAUAAGGAAACCCCCCUUUAAGGGAGCAGGUGAGGAUUCCCAAGGAAGAGCAGCUUGCUUCAAACAAGAUUGACACAAUUAGUUUGGGUGCAUUUGUGCUUGUGUUCAAGCCAUGGGAGGAACUCGUUGUUCACAACAAGGACUUUGAUGUUUCUGCUCUGAAGAAGUUCAUUGAAGCUGGCAGCAGCCUGAACUCUGGCAACCGUUGCCUCUUGAAAUUCUUGUAGAGCAAUGCUUCACACGGUAGCCACUGAUAUGCAACUUGCUUUCUAUGGAGCUUGAUUAUUGCGUACUUCUAUCUGCCAGUGAUUCUUAGCAAUGAUGGGCCAGAAAACGAUACUACUUUAUAGUGAUCUAAACACUCUUAUAUUUCUUUACGGAGAGGGUAGAACGCAAAACCCAUUUUACUGAUGUGAGCUAUUCUGCCCGCGCCGCCCCCGCGAGGCGACGGGGAGGGCCCUCGAUCUCCGCCGCCCCUAGAGCCAGCCCCCUACUCUCACCCCCUCGCCGCCGCCAAGGGGUGCGGCCGGGCGAAGCUCGACCCGCGCUGGCGGCGGCGGCGGGGCCUCCUCCUCCUCAUGCGCGACGGGGCGGCGCUGGCCGGUUCCUUGGGCCUGGACGCGGUACUCGCGCAUGGUGCCACGGCGUGGAAGCCACGCGGGGGUGCAGCUACGGCGUGAGGGGCUGCGUGGCUGGUGGUGCUCGCCUGCACUGCGGUGGCCGGAUCUGGCCGGCAGGCGGGGCGGGCUGGGCGGCUGCUGUGCUGGAUCUUGGCGGUGGUGGCCACGUCCUGGUGGUGCUCUGCACCUGCGGGGAUGGCGGCAGCAGCUCGUGGCGGUGGUGGUUCCCCUCCUAUGCUUGGUCGGCUCAUGGGCCGAGAUGGGUUGGGAUGGGGGUGGUGCGGGCUGGUGGUGGCGACGGCGAUGCGGUGUGCAGUGGUUUUGUCACAGCAGAUGUCUUGUGAAAGGACUUAAGCGUGAGGCCAUCGCAACAGUGAAUAACUUGUCGGGGUUGAGCAGGAUGAGAGACGCGGAAUUACCCAGGUUCGGCCCCUCAAGGUUGAGGUAAAAGCCUACAUCCUGCUUUAUGCUGUAUUGCUUGAGUAUCGAUUACAAGGGAGCGGAUUCGCUUGACCUAGCUAUCGAUUGAUUGUAAUAUGUCUAUUCUAUGCCGGGGACUCGCCUUUAUAUACAAGUCGAGGCCGCCGGCUUACAAGAGUCCGGGUCGGGUUACGAUA